UACAGAGGUCCCGAGCGUUGUUCGGAUUCACUGGGCGUAAAGGGUGCGUAGGUGGCUGGGAAAGUUUGAUGUGAAAGCUCAGGGCUUAACCCUGAAAUGGCAUUGAAUACUGCCUGGCUGGAGGUUUGGAGGGGGGACUGGAAUUCUUGGUGUAGCAGCGAAAUGCGUAGAUAUCAAGAGGAACACCAGUGGCGAAGGCGAGUCCCUGGACAACACCUGACACUGAGGCACGAAAGCCGGGGGAGCAAACAGG
RNAcentral lists this ribosomal RNA (253 nucleotides) under uncultured bacterium. RNAcentral describes it as "partial 16S ribosomal RNA". It matches the Rfam family "Bacterial small subunit ribosomal RNA", at positions 524 to 776 of the family's 1533-position model. The record is from RNAcentral.